GACGAACGCUGGCGGCGUGCCUAAUACAUGCAAGUUGAGCGCUGAAGGUUGGUACUUGUACCAACUGGAUGAGCAGCGAACGGGUGAGUAACGCGUGGGGAAUCUGCCUUUGAGCGGGGGACAACAUUUGGAAACGAAUGCUAAUACCGCAUAAAAACUUUAAACACAAGUUUUAAGUUUGAAAGAUGCAAUUGCAUCACUCAAAGAUGAUCCCGCGUUGUAUUAGCUAGUUGGUGAGGUAAAGGCUCACCAAGGCGAUGAUACAUAGCCGACCUGAGAGGGGGGUCGGCCCCAUUGGGAAUGAGACACCGCCCCAAACCCCUCCGGGAGGCAGCAGAGGGAAAUCUUGGCAAUGGACGAAAGUCUGACCGAGCAACGCCGCGUGAGUGAAGAAGGGUUUCGGAUCGUAAAACUCUGUUGGUAGAGAAGAACGUUGGUGAGAGUGGAAAGCUCAUCAAGUGACGGUAACUACCCAGAAAGGGACGGCUAACUACGUG
RNAcentral lists this ribosomal RNA (497 nucleotides) under uncultured bacterium. RNAcentral describes it as "partial 16S ribosomal RNA". It matches the Rfam family "Bacterial small subunit ribosomal RNA", at positions 28 to 507 of the family's 1533-position model. The record is from RNAcentral.